CAGCAGUAGUCUUUGUCGGCUAAACCGGUUAUUCCCGGUAUAUUAUUGGAGAAAUGGUUAUUAACUAACCGGCUCGGAGAGUUACCUCUGCUCUUCGCCGUCGUGCUCUCGUCUUUUCGGGUAAUCCCGGAAGACACCAAUGAUAACAAUCGGCAAAAGUUCUCGGAUCCAAUCUCUGCUCAGGUGUUAUGAGCUUCCCAGCUCGAGAACCGUAGAAUGAGUUCUCACCGUGCUUCGAGAUUGAUUGCGGCAUGAUUACUGGAUCGGUCUUCCCGUCUCUCUUGUCUGGAGGAUCAGCAUUUGAUUCGACUAGGAAAGGUGACCAGUAGAAGGCUAUGGUUGUAUUGUACUCCUACACAUUCAAAAUUAGUCGAGAAGGUCUUUUUGCCUGAGGGAACCACGGAUUGGACCAUGCAAACCAUGGAUUGCCACUGAUUAUGAUGUAUCGAAUCACCAACGAACAUCAGUUUCUUUCCCCUGAGUUUCUCUAGUAGCAGCUUUCCAUCGAACCUAUGACCGAAAAGAAAGUGUUUUGAGAGAAGAAGAAAGUGUUACUCAUGUUGCUUAUCUUGUUCUCAGAAAUCUGGAACUGACCUCGGCAAAGAGCAAUCUCGAGGUUGCCAUCUCCAUUUCUGGAUGUGUGACGUUAUCAGGAACCCAUUUUCCCGUGAAAACAUCACAUACGUCUAAUGGCACCAGACUGAUCUUCUUGUCAUUAUCUUCUUU
Capsella rubella is the source of this 726-nucleotide long non-coding RNA. RefSeq lists it as uncharacterized. Lineage: Eukaryota; Viridiplantae; Streptophyta; Magnoliopsida; Brassicales; Brassicaceae. The record is from RefSeq and is a predicted model, not a curated record. The transcript is spliced from 5 exons.